UGCAUACGGGGUGCUAUACAUGCAGUCGAGCGGACAGAAGGGAGCUUGCUCCCGGAUGUUAGCGGCGGACGGGUGAGUAACACGUGGGUAACCUGCCUGUAAGACUGGGAUAACUCCGGGAAACCGGAGCUAAUACCGGAUAGUUCCUUGAACCGCAUGGUUCAAGGAUGAAAGACGGUUUCGGCUGUCACUUACAGAUGGACCCGCGGCGCAUUAGCUAGUUGGUGAGGUAACGGCUCACCAAGGCGACGAUGCGUAGCCGACCUGAGAGGGUGAUCGGCCACACUGGGACUGAGACACGGCCCAGACUCCUACGGGAGGCAGCAGUAGGGAAUCUUCCGCAAUGGACGAAAGUCUGACGGAGCAACGCCGCGUGAGUGAUGAAGGUUUUCGGAUCGUAAAGCUCUGUUGUUAGGGAAGAACAAGUGCAAGAGUAACUGCUUGCACCUUGACGGUACCUAACCAGAAAGCCACGGCUAACUACGUGCCAGCAGCCGCGGUAAUACGUAGGUGGCAAGCGUUGUCCGGAAUUAUUGGGCGUAAAGGGCUCGCAGGCGGUUUCUUAAGUCUGAUGUGAAAGCCCCCGGCUCAACCGGGGAGGGUCAUUGGAAACUGGGAAACUUGAGUGCAGAAGAGGAGAGUGGAAUUCCACGUGUAGCGGUGAAAUGCGUAGAGAUGUGGAGGAACACCAGUGGCGAAGGCGACUCUCUGGUCUGUAACUGACGCUGAGGAGCGAAAGCGUGGGGAGCGAACAGGAUUAGAUACCCUGGUAGUCCACGCCGUAAACGAUGAGUGCUAAGUGUUAGGGGGUUUCCGCCCCUUAGUGCUGCAGCUAACGCAUUAAGCACUCCGCCUGGGGAGUACGGUCGCAAGACUGAAACUCAAAGGAAUUGACGGGGGCCCGCACAAGCGGUGGAGCAUGUGGUUUAAUUCGAAGCAACGCGAAGACCUUUACCAGGUCUUGACAUCCUCUGACACCCUAGAGAUAGGGCUUUCCCUUCGGGAAGAGUGACAGUGUUGCAUGGUUGUCGUCAGCUCGUGUCGUGAAGAUGUUGGUAAGUCCCGCAACGAGCGCACUCUUUGAAUCUAGUGCCAGCAUUCAGUGGCCACUUCUAGUGACUGGCGUGACAACGGAGGACGUGGGUAUGACGUCAUUCUUCGAUUGCCCGUUAUGACUGGCUACCACGUGCUUACAUGACCGAAACGAUGCUUGCGCGACAAU
Molecule: ribosomal RNA, 1222 nt
Filed under: Bacillus altitudinis
Lineage: Bacteria; Bacillati; Bacillota; Bacilli; Caryophanales; Bacillaceae
Description: bacterial SSU rRNA
Rfam family: Bacterial small subunit ribosomal RNA
Source: RNAcentral